This is a long non-coding RNA of Silurus meridionalis, 1403 nucleotides long. RefSeq lists it as uncharacterized. The record is from RefSeq and is a predicted model, not a curated record. NCBI's taxonomy places the organism in Eukaryota, Metazoa, Chordata, Actinopteri, Siluriformes, Siluridae. The transcript is spliced from 2 exons.
UUUACUCAUACAGAAAUAUAUAUAUAUAUAUAUAUACACACACACAACCAAACACAGAGAUGAGUGACAUUUAAAAAGGUCUAUAUCUAUCUAUUAAAAGUAAAAAAUUUCUAUUGAUGCCACAUAAGCAGCUUCAAUGUUAUUCACAAUAGAGGUAAGAUCAUCAUUCUUCUAAAAGAAUUUACCCUUUUGGCGUUGUGGUCAUGAUGUUGGAGAACAUUGUCUAAACAGUGGUCCAUAAUCUCUUACUGGUGUUCACUAUGGUUUAUAGCUGGAGAUGGAAAGCCAUAGCUUGUGAUUUACUGUAUAUACGUGCUCACUAAACUGGAGCCAUUGUGUACUGUACAUGUGGGGAGCUGUGGGAAGUAGUCAUCUUGUUGGAGAAUAUUGCUGUUAGGACAGAAAUGCUGGUUUGUCAGAAUUACUUUGUGUUAAUUUGCUGGGACAUUUCCCAACCCUGGUCAUGGAGUCUGCAUUGUCUUUCUCUUUAUUGAUUCAACUAACCUGAUUGAAAGUCCUUUAUGAAUCGAAGUCCUUCAUGAAUCAAGUUGCACAGGACCAAAAAAAAAAAAACCCGGACACCACGAGUGAAGCUUGGAGCCGGCAAAUGGGGCCAAGCAAUGCUAACAAAAUGUCCCCCACAGCAACUGUUUUUCUGUGUUCCUCAAUUUGCUUGUAUAUCUACCAAUUAGACAUUAUAUUUGACAUCUGCUUAGAAAUAUAUGAAUUGAUAAAUCUGCAGUGCUUCCUUAAUGGUAUGCGGGUAUUGACUUGUGUGAUAUAAUGGAUCUGAUGACAGUAUGGCAUUCAUGUCAGUAUGAUGGAAUUUGGGUAUUAAUCAGUUUAGCAAAAGAUUAAAAAAAGAUUUUAAAUCUCAGGAAAGCAGAGACAUUCUGAAAGAUAUAUACUGUAAUAUUUUAAACUGUAGUAAGCAGCUAUGCGAGUGUGGACUGUAAAUUUGAUGCAUUAUUGUUUAUUAACAUAUUUCUAUUGUUCUACUGCACAGUAAUUGUUUACACUGAAUCCUUGCUAAGGCUGAUGUGAGCAGCUUGUCUCCAUGAGCAUGAGCACACUGGUGCCAGUGGUGGUAUUGGAUUGUGAAGUUCAGUGCAGCUCCAGUUCAUCACGUAGUCCAUAAAGAACCAUGAGCUACGAUUAUUGCAUCCACAUCGUAAGUAGUUGAGCUUUAGUUUGUGUGUGUGUGUGUGUGUGUGUGUGUGUGUGUGUGUGUGUGUGUGUGUGUGUGUGUGUGUGCUUUAGUACAAACUUUACUAGGUUUGUUUUUGCAAUUACUAAUAUUAAUUGUAGAGUUUGUUAAAAGGUAGUAGUAUGUUUUUAACUUCUGCCAUUUCUAAAUGCAGAUAUUUAUGUGAAAUCCCAAUAAAAAAAGCAAUGAUUUCCUA